CGUGUAGGCGGUUUUAUAAGUCUGAUGUGAAAGCCCUGGGCUCAACCUGGGAAGUGCAUUGGAUACUGUAAGACUUGAAUACGGGAGAGGGGAGUGGAAUUCCUGGUGUAGGAGUGAAAUCCGUAGAUAUCAGGAGGAACACCGGUGGCGAAGGCGGCUCCCUGGACCGAUAUUGACGCUGAGACGCGAAAGCGUGGGUAGCAAACA
RNAcentral lists this ribosomal RNA (207 nucleotides) under uncultured delta proteobacterium. RNAcentral describes it as "partial 16S ribosomal RNA". It matches the Rfam family "Bacterial small subunit ribosomal RNA", at positions 568 to 774 of the family's 1533-position model. Lineage: Bacteria; Deltaproteobacteria. The record is from RNAcentral.